This 600-nucleotide ribosomal RNA is filed under the name uncultured bacterium. RNAcentral's name for it is "bacterial SSU rRNA". It matches the Rfam family "Bacterial small subunit ribosomal RNA", at positions 772 to 1370 of the family's 1533-position model. The record is from RNAcentral.
ACCGGAUUAGAUACCCUGGUAGCCCUCGCCGUAAACGAUGAGUGCUAAGUGUUAGAGGGUUUCCGCCCUUUAGUGCUGCAGCUAACGCAUUAAGCACUCCGCCUGGGGAGUACGGUCGCAAGACUGAAACUCAAAGGAAUUGACGGGGGCCCGCACAAGCGGUGGAGCAUGUGGUUUAAUUCGAAGCAACGCGAAGAACCUUACCAGGUCUUGACAUCCUCUGACAACUCUAGAGAUAGAGCGUUCCCCUUCGGGGGACAGAGUGACAGGUGGUGCAUGGUUGUCGUCAGCUCGUGUCGUGAGAUGUUGGGUUAAGUCCCGCAACGAGCGCAACCCUUGAUCUUAGUUGCCAGCAUUCAGUUGGGCACUCUAAGGUGACUGCCGGUGACAAACCGGAGGAAGGUGGGGAUGACGUCAAAUCAUCAUGCCCCUUAUGACCUGGGCUACACACGUGCUACAAUGGAUGGUACAAAGGGCUGCAAGACCGCGAGGUCAAGCCAAUCCCAUAAAACCAUUCUCAGUUCGGAUUGUAGGCUGCAACUCGCCUACAUGAAGCUGGAAUCGCUAGUAAUCGCGGAUCAGCAUGCCGCGGUGAAUACG